UAGUCCACGCCGUAAACGAUGAUUACUCGGUGCUAGCGACAUACUGUUAGUGCCUAAGCGAAAGCGAUAAGUAAUCCACCUGGGGAGUACGGUCGCAAGAUUGAAACUCAAAGGAAUUGACGGGGGCCCGCACAAGCGGUGGAGCAUGUGGUUUAAUUCGAUGAUACGCGAGGAACCUUACCUGGGCUUAAAUGCAUAAUGACAGAAGUGGAAACACUUCCUUCUUCGGACAGAAUGCAAGGUGCUGCAUGGUUGUCGUCAGCUCGUGCUGUGAGGUGUCGGGUUAAGUCCCAUAACGAGCGCAACCCCUAUCCUUAGUUGCCAGCGAGUAAUGUCGGGGACUCUAGGGAAACUGCCGGUGCAAACCGUGAGGAAGGUGGGGAUGACGUCAAAUCAUCACGGCCCUUACGUCCAGGGCUACACACGUGCUACAAUGGCGCAUACAAAGGGCAGCUACAUGGUGACAUGGUGCUAAUCUCUAAAGUGCGU
Molecule: ribosomal RNA, 489 nt
Filed under: uncultured bacterium
Lineage: Bacteria
Description: bacterial SSU rRNA
Rfam family: Bacterial small subunit ribosomal RNA
Source: RNAcentral